Long non-coding RNA from Fundulus heteroclitus (mummichog), 603 nucleotides. RefSeq lists it as uncharacterized. The transcript has 2 exons. Lineage: Eukaryota; Metazoa; Chordata; Actinopteri; Cyprinodontiformes; Fundulidae. The record is from RefSeq and is a predicted model, not a curated record.
ACACCUGCAGCUCGUUGGAGGCAGCUUCCUCUGGCUUCUUAAGCAGAGCACUGACAGAUAGAAGAUGCCAGAGCCUUAAACCAGUUGUGGUACGACGUGGCCUCUGACCAAGCUCCUGGAAAUCUGCGCAUGAGUUUUUCUACACUCAGCCUUUGACAAACUUUGAGUCUCCUGUUUUUGUCUUAGUUUUUUGGUGCUGGUAAGCACUCACCUGCCUUGACGCUCCGUCCGAAGAAUCACCUCCAGAAUCACUAGACUCAGGUUUGCUCUUUUGCUCCCCCUCUUGCUCCCUGGAAGUUACCCAGCUGGGUUUGAGGUCUCCCUCCGGAUUCUGGUGGUCCCGCUUCAAGUCUGGUUAAUCCAUCUGUCACUCGACCCAGCGGAGGCUUGCUCCGGAUCCCUUGUCAGCCGCUGCUGCUGCCCUCCAGCCACCAGCCACCUACUCCAUCUAGAGCAGGCUCACAGGGUUCCCCCGGCACUCACUCCUCCCCGGUUAGGACCGCCCGGCUAAUGUCUCCUCCGCUUCGACGUUCAGACCCACCUGCUGCAGUCAUUAUUUCAUCCUUGUUAUUUGCACAUUUCCUAAUAAACUGUUUAAAGCUA